RNAcentral lists this long non-coding RNA (282 nucleotides) under Gossypium barbadense (sea-island cotton). RNAcentral's name for it is "long non-coding RNA (GBAR_LNC005355)". Lineage: Eukaryota; Viridiplantae; Streptophyta; Magnoliopsida; Malvales; Malvaceae. The record is from RNAcentral.
AAAUCUUACCAGUGAAAAAUUUAGGAUAUCGAUCCUUCAUAGAGUCCUUAAGUUCCCAAGUGGCUUCUUCGAUUCCGUGUUUAUGCCACAACACCUUCACUAAUGGGAUUUUCUUAUUUCGCAACUCUUUUACUUCACGCAUCAAAAUGCGAACUGGCUCUUCUUCAUAACUCAAGUUAGGCUGAAUCUCGAUCUCAGAUGGAGUGAUUACGUGCGACGGGUCGGACCUAUAUCGUCGAAGCAUCGAGACAUGGAAAACGUUGUGAAUCUUUUCAAGCUCAG